AUCCAUCUGACGAGUUUCAGAUGGGACGAAACGCGCGUCCUUGAU
RNAcentral lists this non-coding RNA (45 nucleotides) under Schistosoma mansoni. The record is from RNAcentral. Lineage: Eukaryota; Metazoa; Platyhelminthes; Trematoda; Strigeidida; Schistosomatidae.